AUUCAUCUGAUGAGCCUCAAAUAGAGCGAAACAAUCAUCCUGAAU
Non-coding RNA from Schistosoma mattheei, 45 nucleotides. The record is from Rfam. Lineage: Eukaryota; Metazoa; Platyhelminthes; Trematoda; Strigeidida; Schistosomatidae.